AGCUCCAGUAGCCUAUAUUAAAGUUGUUGCAGUUAAAAAGCUCGUAGUUGGAUUUCUGGUAUGAUGCGCCUGAUCCGCGACGAUUUACGUCUGUGAGUAUCGGAGCGCGUCUGCCAUCCUUCCGGGGACCGUCUCUACCUUUUACUAGGCCGGAGCCGUGAUCCGGAUCGUUUACUUUGAAAAAAUUAGAGUGUUCAAAGCAGGCCUUUGCUGUGAAUACAUUAGCAUGGAAUAAUGAUCUAGGACUUCGGUUCUAUUUUGUUGGUUUCUAGCACUGAAGUAAUGAUUGAUAGGGAUAGUUGGGGGUGCUAGUAUUGGGCGGCCAGAGGUGAAAUUCUUGGAUUCGCUCAAGACUAACUUAUGCGAAAGCAUUCACCAAGGAUGUCUUCUUUAAUCAAGA
RNAcentral lists this ribosomal RNA (400 nucleotides) under phytoplankton environmental sample. RNAcentral's name for it is "partial small subunit ribosomal RNA". It matches the Rfam family "Eukaryotic small subunit ribosomal RNA", at positions 587 to 982 of the family's 1831-position model. The record is from RNAcentral.